AUUGAACGCUGGCGGCAGGCCUAACACAUGCAAGUCGAACGAGUGGCGGACGGGUGAGUAAUGUCUGGGAAACUGCCUGAUGGAGGGGGAUAACUACUGGAAACGGUGGCUAAUACCGCAUACCAUCAGAUUUGCCCAGAUGGGAUUAGCUAGUUGGUGGGGUAACGGCUCACCAAGGCGACGAUCCAUAGCUGGUCUGAGAGGAUGACCAGCCACACUGGGACUGAGACACGGUCCAGACUCCUACGGGAGGCAGCAGUGGGGAAUAUUGGACAAUGGGCGAAAGCCUGAUGCAGCCAUGCCGCGUGUAUGAAGAAGGCCUUCGGGUUGUAAAGUACUUUCAGCGGGGAGGCGUUACCCGCAGAAGAAGCACCGGCUAACUCCGUGCCAGCAGCCGCGGUAAUUC
RNAcentral lists this ribosomal RNA (406 nucleotides) under uncultured bacterium. RNAcentral's name for it is "partial 16S ribosomal RNA". It matches the Rfam family "Bacterial small subunit ribosomal RNA", at positions 30 to 526 of the family's 1533-position model. The record is from RNAcentral.